GACUGCGUAGCUCAGUUGGCAGAGCAUUGGGCUGGUAUUCCAAAGGUCGUAGGUUCGAUUCCCUCCGUGGUCA
RNAcentral lists this transfer RNA (73 nucleotides) under Paramuricea clavata. It matches the Rfam family "tRNA". Rfam says of the family: Transfer RNA (tRNA) molecules are approximately 80 nucleotides in length. Their secondary structure includes four short double-helical elements and three loops (D, anti-codon, and T loops). The record is from Rfam by way of RNAcentral. Lineage: Eukaryota; Metazoa; Cnidaria; Anthozoa; Malacalcyonacea; Plexauridae.